UGACACGUAGGCACCAAGCGUUGUCCGGAUUUAUUGGGCGUAAAGAGCUCGUAGGCGGUUCAGUUAGUCGGGUGUGAAAACUCUGGGCUCAACCCAGAGAGGCCACCCGAUACUGCUGAACUUGAGUACGGUAGGGGAGCGGGGAAUUCCUGGUGUAGCGGUGAAAUGCGCAGAUAUCAGGAGGAACACCGGUGGCGAAGGCGCCGCUCUGGGCCGAAACUGACGCUGAGGAGCGAAAGCGUGGGUAGCAAACAGGAUUAGAUACCCUGGUAGUCCACGCCGUAAACGUUGGGCACUAGGUGUGGGCUCUAACCAACGGAGUCCGUGCCGUCGCUAACGCAUUAAGUGCCCCGCCUGGGGAGUACGGCCGCAAGGUUA
Molecule: ribosomal RNA, 378 nt
Filed under: uncultured bacterium
Lineage: Bacteria
Description: bacterial SSU rRNA
Rfam family: Bacterial small subunit ribosomal RNA
Source: RNAcentral